This 412-nucleotide ribosomal RNA is filed under the name uncultured microorganism. Its description in RNAcentral is "bacterial SSU rRNA". It matches the Rfam family "Archaeal small subunit ribosomal RNA", at positions 330 to 745 of the family's 1478-position model. The record is from RNAcentral.
GCGCACCAGUCGAGAAUACUUUACAAUGUGCGAAAGCACGAUAAGGGAACUCUGAGUGCCUCCUAAGGAGGCUGUUCAGGUGUCUAAAAAGCACCUGGAGUAAGGGCUGGGUAAGACCGGUGCCAGCCGCCGCGGUAACACCGGCAGCCCAGGUGGUAGCCACUUUUAUUGGGUCUAAAGCGUCCGUAGCCGGUUGAGUAAGUUCCUUGGGAAAUUUGGCUGCUUAACAGUCAAGCUUUCAGGGAAUACUGCCCCGGCUUGGGGACCGGGAGAGGUCAGAGGUACUCCAGGGGUAGGGGUGAAAUCCAUUAAUCCUUGGGGGACCACCGGUAGCGAAGGCGUCUGACCAGACCGGGUCCGACGGUGAGGGACGAAGGCUAGGGGCGCGAACCGGAUUAGAUACCCGUGUAGU